Molecule: ribosomal RNA, 253 nt
Filed under: uncultured bacterium
Lineage: Bacteria
Description: partial 16S ribosomal RNA
Rfam family: Bacterial small subunit ribosomal RNA
Source: RNAcentral
GACAGAGGGUGCAAACGUUGUUCGGAAUUACUGGGCGUAAAGCGCGUGUAGGCGGCAGCGUGUGUCGGGCGUGAAAUCCCACGGCUCAACCGUGGAAGUGCACCCGAAACUGCGCAGCUAGAGUCCUGGAGAGGAAGGUGGAAUUCCCGGUGUAGAGGUGAAAUUCGUAGAUAUCGGGAGGAACACCGGUGGCGAAGGCGGCGACCUGGGUAGAUACUGACGCUGAGGUGCGAAAGCGUGGGGAGCAAACAGG